Maylandia zebra (zebra mbuna) is the source of this 270-nucleotide non-coding RNA. The record is from RefSeq and is a predicted model, not a curated record. Lineage: Eukaryota; Metazoa; Chordata; Actinopteri; Cichliformes; Cichlidae.
CCACGCCCAUUUUCGCUUCUUAAGUUUCGUUUCUGCCGCCAUUUUCUUAUUCCGCAGUGGAACGGAGGCGACUGUCAGCAUAAGCCAGGAUGCAAGCUGUGCGUGUAAAGUAUAGAGAACAACAAAAGUACAUCUGUUUUGAGGGCCAACUGACCUACACAUCGUUUUUGGAAUGUGUUGCCAAGAAGUUCAACAUUCCAAACUUGGACUUCAAAGUUUUUGAUGGCUCAAAGACUGAAGUUGAUGAGGAUGUUUUUGAUUUCCUUAUGA